Non-coding RNA from Pelobates cultripes (western spadefoot toad), 233 nucleotides. Lineage: Eukaryota; Metazoa; Chordata; Amphibia; Anura; Pelobatidae. The record is from the annotation of a GenBank genome assembly.
GUUAAUAUAAAUACACUACUGACCGACUCUCUUUGGUGGAGUGGCACUGUCACUUUAGAUUUUGAACUUCAUUCACUUUACUAUUCAUAUCCACGUAUUAUAGAGCUAUUAACAUUGAACUUAUGCAUCUAUAGACAUCCUGUCUAAAGAUUCUUACUUAUGGAAAAAUUCCUGCACUGUCACUUUAAGAUUCUGAAAUUUAUUCACAUAAUCACUGUCACUUUAAGACCUAG